AUGGAGGUUUGGGUUAUAUAGUUGGAUGUUAUGUAGGAAGAUGAUGCCAAACUCUGUUUUGUAACAGUGUUGUUGACUAAUGAAAUGCCUAUUUGCAAGAAUCCUUGGUAGUUAUUGUGUUUUUUAAGUGGUAGUCUGUAAUACCUCGGAUUUUGGAUUAAGCUUAAAAAUUUGAUUAAUGGAUGAUUUUUUUUUUUAUUUUGAGACUUUUAUAUCAUUUGGGGUCUUUAUCACUUGUUAGAAGAGUUGGGACAUUAAAGUGAUUUAAUUUUUAUUGGUGGAGGUUUUGUAAAUUAAAGAAAGAAUUGUUAGUGGAGAUACGUGUGGCAAUCUUAUAGGAAAACUUAAAUGAUGUGUCCUCACAAUCAGCCCACAUAAAGACACAGUAGUAAUCCGUGGCUUUUACAAUUCAAUUGUGUCCCUCACUUGGGGCAUGAAACAGAAACCAAGGUGUAGGAAAGGGAAAGAGGAAGAGAGGAUUAGAGAGAAGGAGGAGCAGAACCGAGAGAAUAAGAAGAGGGAGGUUCAGCCAUGGAAGAAAAUAAAGGGAAGAAAGGAUUAAGGAAGUGCUGGCCAGAUUUCCACCAGCCUCUCACUAUCACCUUAUGCAUGUUCAUUUCCAUCAUUAUCUCACCUUUUCUAGCAUGAUUGAGGUUGUAUUGAUCAUUGGAGAACAAUUGGGAGUGGCUGAAAAUUAUAGCAUUGGAGACCAUUUAGUUUUGUGUAUAAAGUGUUUGAGAAAAUGUUUGCAUGAAUUUAUUUGAGGAAUUGGAUGUAUUUGUGAUUUCAAGUGCCUAAUUUGUAUCUAAACCAUUCUAUGUUCACUUAGAGACUGGUUAUACCUAUCCUUCUAUUGUAGUUGUGAUGAAAUUUGUAUUUGGAGCUUAAGUAAGAAAACAAGGAUUUUGUAUUUUUGUGAAAAUUAAAUAAUUUCUCCAAGGAGCUGUAUUGCUCUAAAUGCUUUUAAAUUUUUACCAAAACUUCCUUUAUGUAUCUAGUACUUCUCCAUAAAAUUUCAUAAUUUUUAGAGUAGCAUAUAUUUUUAUAAAAAUUCGAGAUUAUCUACUGUCCAGAUUUUACACCUGCUGGAAAUAAGAAUUUAAAUAAAUUACUUCACCAACUUCUUGACACCGGAUCUUUAUCAAAACUUCCAGAUUUAUUCUUUCAUAAGCCUACUGUCAAAAUGAAUUUACUUUGUCAAUUUCGGAGGUCAAAUGAAUUUUCUAAAAAUUCUGAAGUAUCUGCUGCCCAGGUUUUCUUCAAACUAAGUAUUGCUGAUUUACUUCUCAAAUCUGAUUUAAUUGGAAAAUCUUUAGCAUCUGUGAGUUUCUCAGCUGUGUUUCACUUUGAAUCUAGUUUUCAAAUCAUUUUUGUUUGUUCCGUUUUGAUUUAAAACGAAUUUUCUACGAAUUUUUAAGUAGUUGUUGCGCAGAUUUUCCUCCUAACUCAGCACUCUUGUCCUGAUGAAUUUUGUUUUUUUUUUUUGUAUGAAAUUUGGAGUACCCAUUAUGUAGAUUUUGAGGUUGUUUGUGACGUGUUUUGGGACAAUGAAUGGACUAUGGAUUUUAAAUUGGA
This is a long non-coding RNA of Cornus florida, 1575 nucleotides long. RefSeq lists it as uncharacterized. The record is from RefSeq and is a predicted model, not a curated record. NCBI's taxonomy places the organism in Eukaryota, Viridiplantae, Streptophyta, Magnoliopsida, Cornales, Cornaceae. The transcript has 2 exons.